Elaeis guineensis (African oil palm) is the source of this 1745-nucleotide non-coding RNA. NCBI's taxonomy places the organism in Eukaryota, Viridiplantae, Streptophyta, Magnoliopsida, Arecales, Arecaceae. The record is from RefSeq and is a predicted model, not a curated record.
CACUACUCUCCUCCCCUCUCCCCGCCGCUUCCCUCGCCACCCACCAUCGAAGGCUCCACUUCCCCUCCUUCUCCUCCUUGUUCGAGGUCCCCUUCUCUCCCUCUAUCUCUGUUGUAUCGGUUUUCUAAUCGUUUCUUGUUUGAAUAUAUAUAUUGGAUUGCAUUUGUGCUUCACGAAAGACUAGAUUCUGAAUCAUCCUCUUGCGUGAAAUCGUUCGAUUUUCUAUGUCAAAGGAAGCAUCUUUGAAGGGCUUUGGUGGCUUCGGAUUCAAAAUCAGCUUCAUUCCUUGUCAUCACUUUGCCUCGUGAGUUCUAACAUGACAACAUGUGAAGCAAUGACAGCAAGUACUUGCAAGGAAGCUUCUGAUAUAAUUGAUUUAAACUGGGAAAAUAUUGGAUUUGGACUGGUACCAACUGAUUACAUGUAUAUCAUGAAAUCUUCUGAAGAUGGAACAUUUGCAAAAGGUGAAUUGCAGCAUUUUGGCCCCAUUGAAUUGAAUCCAGCCUCUGGAGUCUUAAAUUAUGGACAGGGUUUGUUUGAAGGUUUAAAAGCAUACAGAAAAGAAGAUGGAUCAAUUCUACUAUUUCGCCCAAAGGAAAAUGCUUUACGGAUGAGGAUGGGUGCAGAGCGCAUGUGCAUGCCUGCACCGACUAUUGAGCAAUUUAUGGAUGCUGUAAAGCUCACUGUUUUAGCAAAUAAGCGCUGGGUACCACCUAUAGGGAAGGGUUCCUUGUAUAUCAGACCGUUACUGAUGGGAAGUGGGGCCGUUCUUGGUGUUGCUCCUGCUCCUGAGUACACAUUUCUUAUUUUUGUUUCACCUGUUGGUAACUACUUUAAGGAGGGUUUAGCACCAAUAAACUUGAUAGUUGAAAAUGAUUUUCAUCGCGCGACCCCUGGUGGAACUGGAGGUGUAAAGACUAUUGGGAAUUAUGCUUCGGUGUUGAAGGCACAGAAAUUAGCUAAGGAGAAAGGCUAUUCUGAUGUUUUGUAUCUUGACUCUGUUCACAAGAAGUACCUGGAGGAAGUUUCAUCCUGUAAUAUUUUUGUUGUGAAGGAUAAAAUUAUAUCAACCCCAGCAACCAAAGGAACAAUAUUGCCUGGCAUUACAAGGAAAAGUAUAAUUGAUGUUGCUCGAGGCCUAGGCUAUCAGGUUGAGGAGCGUCUUGUGUCUGUAGAAGAAUUGCUUGAUGCCAAUGAAGCUUUUUGCACAGGAACAGCUGUUGUUGUAUCACCCGUGGGAAGUGUAACAUACCUUGGGAAUAGAGUGGAAUAUGGGAACAGGGGAGUUGGUGCUGUAUCUCAACAACUCUAUUCUGCACUCACAAGGCUACAGAUGGGUCUCAGUGAUGACAAGAUGGGCUGGACAGUGAAGUUAAAUUGAGAGCUGGGGUAUCUAGAAUAAACAAACACCUUGUAUGAAAGCUCUUUUUGUUGAUUUUAGGGCUCUGAUUUCUUUCACUGGCAUUGCUAGCAUCCACCUAAGCCUCUUGGCCUUCUACUUAGAAGAUACAGAGGCAAGAAUAAGGGGCUGCAGAAAAGCCAGAGAAAAAGCUUCUAGUUUUUGUUUCUAUGAAGGAAAGUAACCUUCGACAGCUGUUCUAAAUCAACGGCUGGCAUGGAAUUGUGUUUCAGUUGGAGUUUUCAUGCAAAGUCUUAAAAGCGACACACAAACUGGGAUUUUGACAAGCAUUCCCCUGGGGACUGCACGCUUGAUACCCUGUCCUUGUCGGACUUCAAAAAAACGA